This 97-nucleotide ribosomal RNA is filed under the name Escherichia coli. The record is from RNAcentral. Lineage: Bacteria; Pseudomonadati; Pseudomonadota; Gammaproteobacteria; Enterobacterales; Enterobacteriaceae. RNAcentral also lists the same sequence under 2 other names.
UGGUCCCACCUGACCCCAUGCCGAACUCAGAAGUGAAACGCCGUAGCGCCGAUGGUAGUGUGGGGUUUCCCCAUGCGAGAGUAGGGAACUGCCAGGC